UACGUAGGGCCCAAGCGUUGUUCGGAUUUACUGGGCGUAAAGGGCGCGUAGGCGGCGCGGUAAGUCACUUGUGAAAUCUCUGAGCUUAACUCAGAACGGCCAAGUGAUACUGCAGUGCUAGAGUGUGGAAGGGGCAAUCGGAAUUCUUGGUGUAGCGGUGAAAUGCGUAGAUAUCAAGAGGAACACCUGAGGUGAAGACGGGUUGCUGGGCCAACACUGACGCUGAGGCGCGAAAGCUAGGGGAGCAAACGGG
This 253-nucleotide ribosomal RNA is filed under the name uncultured bacterium. RNAcentral describes it as "partial 16S ribosomal RNA". It matches the Rfam family "Bacterial small subunit ribosomal RNA", at positions 524 to 776 of the family's 1533-position model. The record is from RNAcentral.